Marmota flaviventris (yellow-bellied marmot) is the source of this 789-nucleotide long non-coding RNA. RefSeq lists it as uncharacterized. Lineage: Eukaryota; Metazoa; Chordata; Mammalia; Rodentia; Sciuridae. The record is from RefSeq and is a predicted model, not a curated record.
AUGCCUGGCCUUCCUGAAACCAAAGAAUGGGCUGUCAGACCUUUGAAUCGUCAGUAGAAGACCCCAAAGAGGUAAAACCGUUGGAGAUGUUCACUCCAAGGCUCUUCAAAUCUAUUGAUGAUUUCCUGCCACCCAGAAGCCUGGACGGGCCCAGCAUCUGUCCUUUCCAGACCUGGUUUUCUAUCUUUCUCUGAGAUCUAUGGAGCCAGAGUCUCUGUUUCCUCCCCGGAUGCCUUCAACAUAAGUGCCCCCUUUCCUUGAGCACCCAGCUCUUCAUGUGGAGCUCCAGGAAGCCACACAGAGGAGGGACUCAGUCUUUGGAGAUAGACGCUCUUUGCUGAAAUGCCUUUUCAGUUCCUUCCUCACUUUGGGAAUGUUGGAAUCUAUGCACAUCAGUGGGUGAGCUUCUAGCUGACAUUUCUACAGCUGCCUGUCUCCUGUGUGAAGCCACAGGACUUUCUGUGUAUGGCCUCCAGCUUCCGUGACUGUGUGUAUGUCCUCUGUCAACUUUCCCCCAUUUUUUUUUUCACAAACAGCCACCUGCUACUAACGGAGAAAGUUUUGGGUGCUACGUGGUGUUGCUAUUAGUAAAAUGGAACUAUAUAGCACUAUUGCCUGGAGAUCAAUGUGGUUGGCCCUACUACACCAUUAUUGCCUCUCUUUGCUUGCUAAGCUUCCCCUUUAUAAUAGAAAAAAAAAAGCUGCCUUCAGGCUAAAAUAUUCGUAGGUAGCACAUUCUCCCUGAAAUUAAUUAUGUUGAAAAUUUAAUUAAAAUGUAAUUUAACAAAA